AGUGAACGCUGGCGGCAGGCCUAACACAUGCAAGUCGAGCGGCAGCGGGUCCCCGCGAGGGGAUGCCGGCGAGCGGCGGACGGGUGAGGAACACAUCGGAAUCUGCCUGGUUGUGGGGGAUAACGUAGGGAAACUUACGCUAAUACCGCAUGAGACCCUGAGUCGACGGACUGGGGGUGAAAGUGAGGGACCUUCGGGCCUCACGCGACCAGAUGAGCCGAUGUCGGAUUAGCUAGUUGGCGGGGUAACGGCCCGCCAAGGCGACGAUCCGUAGCUGGUCUGAGAGGAUGAUCAGCCACACUGGGACUGAGACACGGCCCAGACUCCUACGGGAGGCAGCAGUGGGGAAUAUUGGACAAUGGGCGAAAGCCUGAUCCAGCAAUGCCGCGUGUGUGAAGAAGGCCUGCGGGUUGUAAG
RNAcentral lists this ribosomal RNA (417 nucleotides) under uncultured bacterium. Its description in RNAcentral is "bacterial SSU rRNA". It matches the Rfam family "Bacterial small subunit ribosomal RNA", at positions 30 to 429 of the family's 1533-position model. The record is from RNAcentral.